CCAAUGACGUGUCACACUUUUCGGUUUUCCGACGUGAAUCGCGCGUCAUAUUACAAAGCGGAACUGAGUUUGACUUUGAGCUGCGUUAGUUUCCACACGAGCAGAUAAACAGGGGCGUCAUUACGCGUUGGAGAUAAUGGCAGGACUUCGGACGAUUUUUCAUACAAGACUUCUCCAGGCCUCGCCCUUUUCUAUUAGGGCACUGAGAUUUGCCAGUUCCUUUAAGGCAGCAGAUCUUACCAUUGAGCGUAGUAAGACAUGCAAACCAAAGCCGGAUCCCUCCAAGCUGGUGUUCGGCAAACAGUUCUCUGACCACAUGUUGACCAUCAACUGGUCCGAAAAAAAUGGCUGGGCUGCUCCUGAGAUAAAACCUUUCCAGAACCUGUCGUUGCAUCCUGCCAGCUCAGCCCUGCACUACUCCAUUGAGCUGUUCGAAGGCAUGAAGGCAUUUCGUGGAGCUGACAACCACAUUCGUUUGUUUAGACCCACGCUUAAUAUGGAGAGGCUGCAUCGUGGCACAGAAAGAUGCUGCCUUCCCGUCUUUGAUAAAGGAGAACUGCUGAACUGCAUCAAAAAGCUGGUGGAGAUUGACCAGGAGUGGGUGCCGUACUCUCAGGAUACAAGCCUCUAUAUCAGACCCACUUUCAUAGGAACUGAGCCAUCUCUUGGUGUCUCUCGUACUGGACAAGCUCUCCUCUAUGUCAUCAUCGGUCCCGUAGGCCCAUAUUUUGCCACUGGUUUUUUUAACCCCGUGUCACUUCUGGCAGACCCUUCAUUUGUCAGAGCCUGUAAAGGUGGCGUUGGUUCUUACAAGAUGGGAGGUAAUUAUGGCCCAACUAUUAUGAUUCAGAAUGAGGCAGUGAAGCAGGGAUGUCAGCAGGUUCUGUGGCUGUAUGGAGAAGAAGAGGAGAUCACUGAGGUCGGAACUAUGAAUCUUUUCAUUUACUGGACCAAUGAAAAUGGAGAGAAAGAGCUAGUAACUCCACCACUAGAUGGCAUCAUCCUGCCAGGAGUCACCCGACAGUCUCUGCUGGACCUUGCCAGAUCUUGGGGAGAGUUUAAGGUUACAGAGCGCACGGUGAAUAUGAAGGAACUGCUUGGAGCUCUGGAUGCUGGAAGGGUUCUGGAGGUUUUUGGAGCAGGGACAGCUUGUGUUGUCUGUCCUGUUGGCAGCCUCCUCUAUAAAGAAAAGACCUAUCAAAUCCCCACGAUGGAGAAUGGUCCAGAUUUGACAAAGAGGUUCCACAAAGAACUGACUGAUAUACAGUACGGACGCAAACAAAGUGAAUGGGCACCAAUCGUUGUAUAAAUUGGCCAUCCUGAUGCUGUUUCCUUAUCCUCAUCCAGCACAUUAAGACCAUUAGUACACUCCUCUUGUUUCUUUACCUACGGAAGUAGGAUGCCUAUUUUCUCCUCUCUCCUUGAGUCUCUUAAAUCAAUGCUUUGGUUCAAACACGGAGUAGCUGUGUUUACAUUCUCCAACCCAGGUGCUGUAGCUUAUUCUUAUAUGCUGUAAUACUAGAGACGAAGGUUUUUUUUUUUUUUUGGAUGGCAUUUUGUGACACUGCCACUGUACCAGUUGAUUUUUUUUUUAAGCAAAAGGCUAGUCAUAUCCUCAACUAACAUUGUUGUAGAUUACGCACCAAAAUAAUAAUGAAGCACAAAAUGAUUCAGUGCUUCAUCAUCUGUACUUUUGCAUCAACAGAGCCUAACUCAUCCCUAAUUCAUAGGACACUCGAGAAAACUGUGCUUUAUAUACACAAAUGUAAACCACUAUCUUCGGCGGACAUAAACUAACUUGUAUCAGUAUUUCACAUGUAGGAAUGAACAUACGUGAACAUAGAUGCAAUACUAAAGAGGUUUUAUGGAAUACAGAAUAGGACUUGAUAGUGUAUGUAAUGGUUAUCAUCAACUCGACGCAUUACAGAGGAAAAAAAAAUGAUACUGUCGGUAAUCAUAGGAUACGCUUAUGUAUCUUAGAAACAUAUCUGUGUGUGUGUGUAUUUUUAUUUUCGUCGACUUCGGUUAACUAGAGAGAUUUUAUCUGAUGGUUUGGUUUAAGCCUUGUAAAGAGAAAGCAGAGGUGGAUUUUUAAAAUGCGUGUUUGUCUUGUUUUGGUCAUUGAUGAAUGCAGUUACUGCACUGAAGAUCAUGGAGUGUACUGUCCAAGUAAUGUUACAAAUGCACAGGUGCGCCAUGGAAGGCGCCUGCAGUUCCACCUGCACUAUUAUCUCUGUGAACACUAAAAUGUCUGGAAACAGAUGUAUUUUUUUUAAAAAUAUAUAGGUUUUAAAUAAUGAUUAUACGUUGUUUGCAAUUGUGUUGAUGUAAUGCAGAUGAACUACGCUCCUACGUCCUACAUUAAUGUCUCGAUUGCUGCUUUCUUCCACGUAUCAUUUUAGUUUCCUGUUUUUGCCUUUCCUCUGUGAUUCUUUGUCUGAAUAUUCUCGUUACAUUUUCAGCUGCUGUGUAGUUUCACAGUUUGCGCACCCAUGGGAUCUAGCUGGAUUAUUUGUCAUAUUUUAUUUCAUUGUUUGUUUUAUUGGUAAUGUUUUUGGUUUUUUUUUUUUAACCUGCUGUUACAUUUCCUCUAUUGCUGUUUUUACAAUAAACUUGAUCUGAGGUGUUCAAUUUAUUUGAAAUGCUCUAAAUGAAAGUGUUUUAAUAAACAACUAAAACA
RNA transcript from Cynoglossus semilaevis (tongue sole), 2680 nucleotides. It is a transcript of the gene named branched chain amino-acid transaminase 2, mitochondrial, with no coding region annotated. The transcript is spliced from 12 exons. The record is from RefSeq and is a predicted model, not a curated record. Lineage: Eukaryota; Metazoa; Chordata; Actinopteri; Pleuronectiformes; Cynoglossidae.